AACGGUCUAUACCUGCGGUACCUGCGGAGGGAUCAUUACUGAGUGAGGGCCCUCUGGGUCCAACCUCCCACCCGUGUCUCUUGUACCAUGUUGCUUCGGCGAGCCCGCCUCACGGCCGCCGGGGGGCAUCUGCCCCCGGGCCCGCGCCCGCCGAAGCCCCCUCUGAACGCUGUCUGAAGAUUGCAGUCUGAGCGAUAAGCAAAAAUUAUUUAAAACUUUUAACAACGGAUCUCUAGAUCG
RNAcentral lists this unclassified non-coding RNA (240 nucleotides) under soil metagenome. RNAcentral's name for it is "partial contains 5.8S ribosomal RNA, internal transcribed spacer 2, and large subunit ribosomal RNA". The record is from RNAcentral.